AUCAGGUUCCCAACCUUCAGUUAAUCAAUACUCAGUCCAUCAAGGGAGAGAGGAGCCUCUCCAGUGUCACAGACCCCCCAGGAAACACAGCUGCCCCCCUGUGUUUCCAUGUCACACAUGGCACCACCCGGAGAAAAUCUGCCACUGUGACACUCUCCUGUCCAUGUCACAGUGCUCUCACCACCGUGCAUGACAGACUGCUCAUAGGGCUCCUUUAAAGAUGCUUUGCCAAGUACCAAAAGAACAACAGUUCAGUUUCUCGUUUUGGGACAACAGUCCCCCCCAUUCUUCCCUCCCCUGGGGCCGAGGGUCUCAAGAACAGAGAUCUUCUUCUCCACUCCUGCACUUGCAUCUACUGAAGCAGGAUGUUCCUGGUCUGGGGACUGUGUGCAGGGGCACAGUACUUGGUAUUUUCAAAAGAAACUCUGCAGUCAGAGCCUGGCUGUUUACCCUGGGGGUAGCACAAGGAAGAGGAGGCAGUUGCUCCCUGCUCCACUUGUUGGCUAUUAAGUAAACUGAGCAGAAAGAGUUUGAUAAUAAGUGGGAGGCAGGUAUGUGGCACCAAGGAGCCAGGUUUAUGGUUGGCUUUCUGAGCAUUUUAAAAUACACUGUGAAAUUGA
Vidua chalybeata is the source of this 620-nucleotide long non-coding RNA. RefSeq lists it as uncharacterized. Lineage: Eukaryota; Metazoa; Chordata; Aves; Passeriformes; Viduidae. The transcript is spliced from 3 exons. The record is from RefSeq and is a predicted model, not a curated record.